RNAcentral lists this ribosomal RNA (428 nucleotides) under uncultured bacterium. RNAcentral's name for it is "partial 16S ribosomal RNA". It matches the Rfam family "Bacterial small subunit ribosomal RNA", at positions 354 to 796 of the family's 1533-position model. The record is from RNAcentral.
GUGGGGAAUAUUGCACAAUGGGCGAAAGCCUGAUGCAGCAACGCCGCGUGAAGGAAGAAGGGUUUCGGCUCGUAAACUUCUAUCAACAGGGACGAAAAAAAUGACGGUACCUGAAUAAGAAGCCCCGGCUAACUACGUGCCAGCAGCCGCGGUAAUACGUAGGGGGCAAGCGUUAUCCGGAAUUACUGGGUGUAAAGGGAGAGUAGGCGGCAUGGUAAGUUAGAUGUGAAAGCCCGAGGCUUAACCUCGGGAUUGCAUUUAAAACUAUCAAGCUAGAGUACAGGAGAGGUAAGUGGAAUUCCUAGUGUAGCGGUGAAAUGCGUAGAUAUUAGGAGGAACACCAGUGGCGAAGGCGGCUUACUGGACGACAACUGACGCUGAGGCUCGAAAGCGUGGGGAGCAAACAGGAUUAGAAACCCUGGUAGUCC